AACGAACGCUGGCGGCAGGCUUAACACAUGCAAGUCGAACGCCCCGCCAGGGGAGUGGCGGACGGGUGAGUAACGCGUGGGAACAUACCCUUUUCUACGGCAUAGCCUUGGGUUACUGGAAUUAAUACCGUAUACGCCCUACGGUGGAAAGACUUACCGGGGAAGGAUUGGACCGCGUGGGAUUCGCUCGUUGGUGGGGUAAAGGCCUACCAAGGCGACGAUCCAUAGCUUGUCUGAGAGGCUGACCAGACACAUUGGGCCUGAGAGACGGCCCAGACUCCUACGGGAGGCAGCAGUGGGGAAUAUUGGCCAAUCGGCUCAAGCCUGAUGCAGCCAUGCCGCGUGAGUGAUGAAGUCCGUAGGGAAGUAAAGCUCUUUCACCGAUGAAGAUAAUGACGGUAGUCAGAGAAGAAGCCCCGGCUAACUUCGUG
This 431-nucleotide ribosomal RNA is filed under the name uncultured bacterium. RNAcentral's name for it is "partial 16S ribosomal RNA". It matches the Rfam family "Bacterial small subunit ribosomal RNA", at positions 29 to 507 of the family's 1533-position model. The record is from RNAcentral.